This 65-nucleotide transfer RNA is filed under the name Zygeupolia rubens. RNAcentral's name for it is "tRNA-Asn". The record is from RNAcentral. Lineage: Eukaryota; Metazoa; Nemertea; Pilidiophora; Heteronemertea; Lineidae.
UGAAUAAGAGCCGGUUUGGGCAUCUGAUUGUUACUCAGGGGGAACAUACUUGUAUGUUUAUUCAG